This 3008-nucleotide ribosomal RNA is filed under the name Salmonella enterica subsp. enterica serovar Thompson str. ATCC 8391. RNAcentral's name for it is "bacterial LSU rRNA". It matches the Rfam family "Bacterial large subunit ribosomal RNA". The record is from RNAcentral. Lineage: Bacteria; Pseudomonadati; Pseudomonadota; Gammaproteobacteria; Enterobacterales; Enterobacteriaceae.
GGGUUGUGAGGUUAAGCGACUAAGCGUACACGGUGGAUGCCCUGGCAGUCAGAGGCGAUGAAGGGCGUGCUAAUCUGCGAUAAGCGCCGGUAAGGUGAUAUGAACCGUUAUAACCGGCGAUACCCGAAUGGGGAAACCCAGUGUGACUCGUCACACUAUCAUUAACUGAAUCCAUAGGUUAAUGAGGCGAACCGGGGGAACUGAAACAUCUAAGUACCCCGAGGAAAAGAAAUCAACCGAGAUUCCCCCAGUAGCGGCGAGCGAACGGGGAGGAGCCCAGAGCCUGAAUCAGCAUGUGUGUUAGUGGAAGCGUCUGGAAAGACGCGCGAUACAGGGUGACAGCCCCGUACACAAAAGCGCAUGUGCUGUGAGCUCGAUGAGUAGGGCGGGACACGUGGUAUCCUGUCUGAAUAUGGGGGGACCAUCCUCCAAGGCUAAAUACUCCUGACUGACCGAUAGUGAACCAGUACCGUGAGGGAAAGGCGAAAAGAACCCCGGCGAGGGGAGUGAAAAAGAACCUGAAACCGUGUACGUACAAGCAGUGGGAGCACCCUUUGGGGUGUGACUGCGUACCUUUUGUAUAAUGGGUCAGCGACUUAUAUUCUGUAGCAAGGUUAACCGUAUAGGGGAGCCGUAGGGAAACCGAGUCUUAACCGGGCGUUAAGUUGCAGGGUAUAGACCCGAAACCCGGUGAUCUAGCCAUGGGCAGGUUGAAGGUUGGGUAACACUAACUGGAGGACCGAACCGACUAAUGUUGAAAAAUUAGCGGAUGACCUGUGGCUGGGGGUGAAAGGCCAAUCAAACCGGGAGAUAGCUGGUUCUCCCCGAAAGCUAUUUAGGUAGCGCCUCGUGAAUUCAUCUCCGGGGGUAGAGCACUGUUUCGGCUAGGGGGCCAUCCCGGCUUACCAACCCGAUGCAAACUGCGAAUACCGGAGAAUGUUAUCACGGGAGACACACGGCGGGUGCUAACGUCCGUCGUGAAGAGGGAAACAACCCAGACCGCCAGCUAAGGUCCCAAAGUCAUGGUUAAGUGGGAAACGAUGUGGGAAGGCCCAGACAGCCAGGAUGUUGGCUUAGAAGCAGCCAUCAUUUAAAGAAAGCGUAAUAGCUCACUGGUCGAGUCGGCCUGCGCGGAAGAUGUAACGGGGCUAAACCAUGCACCGAAGCUGCGGCAGCGAACGUAUCACUUAAAGCGAUUCAGCGGGUUACGAUUGACGGAGCGAAGCGACGUCAAAGCGUAUACAAAGUCGAGUCGGUUUAAGGAUACGUUCGUUGGGUAGGGGAGCGUUCUGUAAGCCUGUGAAGGUGGCCUGUGAGGGUUGCUGGAGGUAUCAGAAGUGCGAAUGCUGACAUAAGUAACGAUAAAGCGGGUGAAAAGCCCGCUCGCCGGAAGACCAAGGGUUCCUGUCCAACGUUAAUCGGGGCAGGGUGAGUCGACCCCUAAGGCGAGGCCGAAAGGCGUAGUCGAUGGGAAACAGGUUAAUAUUCCUGUACUUGGUGUUACUGCGAAGGGGGGACGGAGAAGGCUAUGUUGGCCGGGCGACGGUUGUCCCGGUUUAAGCGUGUAGGUGUGUGUUCCAGGUAAAUCCGGUUCACUUUAACACUGAGGCGUGACGACGAGGCACUACGGUGCUGAAGCAACAAAUGCCCUGCUUCCAGGAAAAGCCUCUAAGCAUCAGGUAACAUCAAAUCGUACCCCAAACCGACACAGGUGGUCAGGUAGAGAAUACCAAGGCGCUUGAGAGAACUCGGGUGAAGGAACUAGGCAAAAUGGUGCCGUAACUUCGGGAGAAGGCACGCUGACACGUAGGUGAAGUGAUUUACUCAUGGAGCUGAAGUCAGUCGAAGAUACCAGCUGGCUGCAACUGUUUAUUAAAAACACAGCACUGUGCAAACACGAAAGUGGACGUAUACGGUGUGACGCCUGCCCGGUGCCGGAAGGUUAAUUGAUGGGGUCAGCGCAAGCGAAGCUCCUGAUCGAAGCCCCGGUAAACGGCGGCCGUAACUAUAACGGUCCUAAGGUAGCGAAAUUCCUUGUCGGGUAAGUUCCGACCUGCACGAAUGGCGUAAUGAUGGCCAGGCUGUCUCCACCCGAGACUCAGUGAAAUUGAACUCGCUGUGAAGAUGCAGUGUACCCGCGGCAAGACGGAAAGACCCCGUGAACCUUUACUAUAGCUUGACACUGAACAUUGAGCCUUGAUGUGUAGGAUAGGUGGGAGGCUUUGAAGCGUGGACGCCAGUCUGCGUGGAGCCGACCUUGAAAUACCACCCUUUAAUGUUUGAUGUUCUAACGUGGACCCGUAAUCCGGGUUGCGGACAGUGUCUGGUGGGUAGUUUGACUGGGGCGGUCUCCUCCUAAAGAGUAACGGAGGAGCACGAAGGUUGGCUAAUCCUGGUCGGACAUCAGGAGGUUAGUGCAAUGGCAUAAGCCAGCUUGACUGCGAGCGUGACGGCGCGAGCAGGUGCGAAAGCAGGUCAUAGUGAUCCGGUGGUUCUGAAUGGAAGGGCCAUCGCUCAACGGAUAAAAGGUACUCCGGGGAUAACAGGCUGAUACCGCCCAAGAGUUCAUAUCGACGGCGGUGUUUGGCACCUCGAUGUCGGCUCAUCACAUCCUGGGGCUGAAGUAGGUCCCAAGGGUAUGGCUGUUCGCCAUUUAAAGUGGUACGCGAGCUGGGUUUAGAACGUCGUGAGACAGUUCGGUCCCUAUCUGCCGUGGGCGCUGGAGAACUGAGGGGGGCUGCUCCUAGUACGAGAGGACCGGAGUGGACGCAUCACUGGUGUUCGGGUUGUCAUGCCAAUGGCACUGCCCGGUAGCUAAAUGCGGAAGAGAUAAGUGCUGAAAGCAUCUAAGCACGAAACUUGCCCCGAGAUGAGUUCUCCCUGAGACUUAGAGUCUCCUGAAGGAACGUUGAAGACGACGACGUUGAUAGGCCGGGUGUGUAAGCGCAGCGAUGCGUUGAGCUAACCGGUACUAAUGAACCGUGAGGCUUAACCUUACAACGCCGAAG